CGCUCCUGAGAUGAGGAACUAUAUAGAGAUUUUGGGGUUCUCCUCUCCUUCUUGGCGAAGAGGGAGAAGAGA
This 72-nucleotide transfer RNA is filed under the name Toona sinensis. RNAcentral describes it as "tRNA-Pro". Lineage: Eukaryota; Viridiplantae; Streptophyta; Magnoliopsida; Sapindales; Meliaceae. The record is from RNAcentral.